This 85-nucleotide transfer RNA is filed under the name Acidobacteriota bacterium. Its description in RNAcentral is "tRNA-Leu". It matches the Rfam family "tRNA". From Rfam's summary of the family: Transfer RNA (tRNA) molecules are approximately 80 nucleotides in length. Their secondary structure includes four short double-helical elements and three loops (D, anti-codon, and T loops). RNAcentral also lists the same sequence under 1 other name. Lineage: Bacteria; Pseudomonadati; Acidobacteriota. The record is from RNAcentral.
GCGAAAGUGGCGGAAUUGGCAGACGCGCCAGAUUUAGGAUCUGGUGGGGUUACUCCCCGUGGGGGUUCGAGUCCCCCCUUUCGCA